GAGAUGUGUGAUGACGCAUAUCAAUAAGCGGAGGAAAAGAAACUAACAAGGAUUCCCUUAGUAACGGCGAGGGAAGCGGGAAGAGCUCAAAUUUGAAAUCUUCAAGGUUCUACCUUGACGAAUUGUAGUUUAUAGAAGUGUUUUCUGUUAGUGGAGUGGCAAAAGUUCUUUGGAAUAGGACAUCAUAGAGGGUGAGAAUCCCGUAUUUGGUCAUUCCUCCUAGCGUUGUGAUACACUUUCAACGAGUCGGAUUGUUUGGGAAUGCAGUCCAAAAUGGGUGGUAAAUUUCAUCUAAAGCUAAAUAUUGGCGAGAGACCGAUAGCGAACAAGUACCGUGAGGGAAAGAUGAAAAGAACUUUGAAAAGAGAGUUAAACAGUACGUGAAAUUGUCAAAAGGGAAGCGUUUGACACCAGUGUUGUUUUUCCGAAAAUCAAUUACGAAUGUUUUAUUUUUGAGGAGUUAUGACUUCAUCGGCUUGCUCCUUUCUUUAUGAAACUUUCUUAAUGCACUUUUCGGUUAACAAGUCAACAUCAAUUUCUUUUGUUGUAAAAGGGUAUGAGGAAGGUGGCUUUCUUUUCGGAGAAAGUGUUUAUAGCCUUGUGCCUCUGCAAUCGGAGAGAUUGAGGUCUGCAGCGUAGAUCCUUCGGGGUUAGAUACGUUUGUGCUAAGUUAUAGCUUUUCAUAGACAACCUGUUGACUAUGUUUAGUCUUGUAGCUUACUCGCUGAUGCUAUUUUACCUACGCUUAGGAUGUUGAACUCUAUCACACACAG
RNAcentral lists this ribosomal RNA (773 nucleotides) under uncultured Neocallimastigales. RNAcentral describes it as "partial large subunit ribosomal RNA". It matches the Rfam family "Eukaryotic large subunit ribosomal RNA", at positions 23 to 621 of the family's 3401-position model. The record is from RNAcentral. Lineage: Eukaryota; Fungi; Neocallimastigomycota; Neocallimastigomycetes; Neocallimastigales.